RNAcentral lists this ribosomal RNA (2773 nucleotides) under Enterobacter asburiae JCM 6051. RNAcentral describes it as "bacterial LSU rRNA". It matches the Rfam family "Bacterial large subunit ribosomal RNA". Lineage: Bacteria; Pseudomonadati; Pseudomonadota; Gammaproteobacteria; Enterobacterales; Enterobacteriaceae. The record is from RNAcentral.
AGCGUACACGGUGGAUGCCCUGGCAGUCAGAGGCGAUGAAGGACGUGCUAAUCUGCGAAAAGCGCCGGCGAGGUGAUAUGAACCUUUGACCCGGCGAUGUCCGAAUGGGGAAACCCAGUGUGAUUCGUCACACUAUCGUUAACUGAAUACAUAGGUUAACGAGGCGAACCGGGGGAACUGAAACAUCUAAGUACCCCGAGGAAAAGAAAUCAACCGAGAUUCCCCCAGUAGCGGCGAGCGAACGGGGAGCAGCCCAGAGUCUGAAUCAGCUUGUGUGUUAGUGGAACGGUCUGGAAAGUCCGGCGAUACAGGGUGACAGCCCCGUACACGAAAGCACACAGGUUGUGAACUCGAAGAGUAGGGCGGGACACGUGGUAUCCUGUCUGAAUAUGGGGGGACCAUCCUCCAAGGCUAAAUACUCCUGACUGACCGAUAGUGAACCAGUACCGUGAGGGAAAGGCGAAAAGAACCCCGGCGAGGGGAGUGAAAAAGAACCUGAAACCGUGUACGUACAAGCAGUGGGAGCACCUUCGUGGUGUGACUGCGUACCUUUUGUAUAAUGGGUCAGCGACUUAUAUUCUGUAGCAAGGUUAACCGUAUAGGGGAGCCGAAGGGAAACCGAGUCUUAACUGGGCGUUAAGUUGCAGGGUAUAGACCCGAAACCCGGUGAUCUAGCCAUGGGCAGGUUGAAGGUUGGGUAACACUAACUGGAGGACCGAACCGACUAAUGUUGAAAAAUUAGCGGAUGACUUGUGGCUGGGGGUGAAAGGCCAAUCAAACCGGGAGAUAGCUGGUUCUCCCCGAAAGCUAUUUAGGUAGCGCCUCGUGAACUCAUCUUCGGGGGUAGAGCACUGUUUCGGCUAGGGGGCCAUCCCGGCUUACCAACCCGAUGCAAACUACGAAUACCGAAGAAUGUUAUCACGGGAGACACACGGCGGGUGCUAACGUCCGUCGUGAAGAGGGAAACAACCCAGACCGCCAGCUAAGGUCCCAAAGUCAUGGUUAAGUGGGAAACGAUGUGGGAAGGCACAGACAGCCAGGAUGUUGGCUUAGAAGCAGCCAUCAUUUAAAGAAAGCGUAAUAGCUCACUGGUCGAGUCGGCCUGCGCGGAAGAUGUAACGGGGCUAAACCAUGCACCGAAGCUGCGGCAGCGACGCUUAUGCGUUGUUGGGUAGGGGAGCGUUCUGUAAGCCGUUGAAGGUGUGCUGUGAGGCAUGCUGGAGGUAUCAGAAGUGCGAAUGCUGACAUAAGUAACGAUAAAGCGGGUGAAAAGCCCGCUCGCCGGAAGACCAAGGGUUCCUGUCCAACGUUAAUCGGGGCAGGGUGAGUCGACCCCUAAGGCGAGGCCGAAAGGCGUAGUCGAUGGGAAACAGGUUAAUAUUCCUGUACUUGGUGUUACUGCGAAGGGGGGACGGAGAAGGCUAUGUUAGCCGGGCGACGGUUGUCCCGGUUUAAGCAUGUAGGCGGAACGAUUAGGUAAAUCCGGUCGUUUUUAACGCUGAGGUGUGAUGACGAGGCACUACGGUGCUGAAGUAACAAAUGCCCUGCUUCCAGGAAAAGCCUCUAAGCAUCAGGUAACAUCAAAUCGUACCCCAAACCGACACAGGUGGUCAGGUAGAGAAUACCAAGCGCUUGAGAGAACUCGGGUGAAGGAACUAGGCAAAAUGGUGCCGUAACUUCGGGAGAAGGCACGCUGAUAUGUAGGUGAAGCCCCUGCGGGUGGAGCUGAAAUCAGUCGAAGAUACCAGCUGGCUGCAACUGUUUAUUAAAAACACAGCACUGUGCAAACACGAAAGUGGACGUAUACGGUGUGACGCCUGCCCGGUGCCGGAAGGUUAAUUGAUGGGGUUAGCGGCAACGCGAAGCUCUUGAUCGAAGCCCCGGUAAACGGCGGCCGUAACUAUAACGGUCCUAAGGUAGCGAAAUUCCUUGUCGGGUAAGUUCCGACCUGCACGAAUGGCGUAAUGAUGGCCAGGCUGUCUCCACCCGAGACUCAGUGAAAUUGAACUCGCUGUGAAGAUGCAGUGUACCCGCGGCAAGACGGAAAGACCCCGUGAACCUUUACUAUAGCUUGACACUGAACACUGGUCCUUGAUGUGUAGGAUAGGUGGGAGGCUUUGAAGCGUGGACGCCAGUCUGCGUGGAGCCGACCUUGAAAUACCACCCUUUAAUGGCUGGUGUUCUAACGUAGACCCGUAAUCCGGGUUGCGGACAGUGUCUGGUGGGUAGUUUGACUGGGGCGGUCUCCUCCCAAAGAGUAACGGAGGAGCACGAAGGUUAGCUAAUCCUGGUCGGACAUCAGGAGGUUAGUGCAAUGGCAUAAGCUAGCUUGACUGCGAGAGUGACGGCUCGAGCAGGUGCGAAAGCAGGUCAUAGUGAUCCGGUGGUUCUGAAUGGAAGGGCCAUCGCUCAACGGAUAAAAGGUACUCCGGGGAUAACAGGCUGAUACCGCCCAAGAGUUCAUAUCGACGGCGGUGUUUGGCACCUCGAUGUCGGCUCAUCACAUCCUGGGGCUGAAGUAGGUCCCAAGGGUAUGGCUGUUCGCCAUUUAAAGUGGUACGCGAGCUGGGUUUAGAACGUCGUGAGACAGUUCGGUCCCUAUCUGCCGUGGGCGCUGGAGAAUUGAGGGGGGCUGCUCCUAGUACGAGAGGACCGGAGUGGACGCAUCACUGGUGUUCGGGUUGUCAUGCCAAUGGCACUGCCCGGUAGCUAAAUGCGGAAAAGAUAAGUGCUGAAAGCAUCUAAGCACGAAACUUGCCCCGAGAUGAGUUCU